This 242-nucleotide long non-coding RNA is filed under the name Nicotiana benthamiana. RNAcentral's name for it is "long non-coding RNA (NBEN_LNC001122)". Lineage: Eukaryota; Viridiplantae; Streptophyta; Magnoliopsida; Solanales; Solanaceae. The record is from RNAcentral.
AUAUUAGCUUUUGACAACAGCUUCAAGCCGGUAAAUCCAAGAUGACCAAAGCGCAGGUGCCAUAGCCACGAGCUAUCAUCCAGUGUGGACUUCAAACAUUUGGCUGUUUGAGUCUGGAUGUCAAGUGCGAACAACCUGUUUUUCGCCAUGUUUACUUUGGCGAUCAUGUCUCCACUUCAAUUUCUGAUGGCAAGCGAGUAGUCCUUCAUGUGGAUGUCAUAGCCUCUCUCCAGUAGUUGUCC